AGUUACUGAAGAAGCUGAUGCUG
Molecule: microRNA, 23 nt
Filed under: Schmidtea mediterranea
Lineage: Eukaryota; Metazoa; Platyhelminthes; Tricladida; Dugesiidae
Description: sme-miR-2201-5p
Source: miRBase by way of RNAcentral